RNAcentral lists this ribosomal RNA (495 nucleotides) under uncultured bacterium. RNAcentral describes it as "partial 16S ribosomal RNA". It matches the Rfam family "Bacterial small subunit ribosomal RNA", at positions 28 to 506 of the family's 1533-position model. The record is from RNAcentral.
GAUGAACGCUGGCGGCGUGCCUAAUACAUGCAAGUCGAGCGAACAGACGAGGAGCUUGCUCCUCUGACGUUAGCGGCGGACGGGUGAGUAACACGUGGAUAACCUACCUAUAAGACUGGGAUAACUUCGGGAAACCGGAGCUAAUACCGGAUAAUAUAUUGAACCGCAUGGUUCAAUAGUGAAAGACGGUUUUGCUGUCACUUAUAGAUGGAUCCGCGCCGCAUUAGCUAGUUGGUAAGGUAACGGCUUACCAAGGCAACGAUGCGUAGCCGACCUGAGAGGGUGAUCGGCCACACUGGAACUGAGACACGGUCCAGACUCCUACGGGAGGCAGCAGUAGGAAUCUGCCGCAAUGGGCGAAAGCCUGACGGAGCAACGCCGCGUGAGUGAUGAAGGUCUUCGGAUCGUAAAACUCUGUUAUUAGGGAAGAACAAAUGUGUAAGUAACUAUGCACGUCUGGACGGUACCUAAUCAGAAAGCCACGGCUAACUACGU